UACAGAGGGUGCGAGCGUUAAUCGGAAUUACUGGGCGUAAAGCGCGCGUAGGCGGCUUUGCAAGCCGGAUGUGAAAUCCCCGGGCUUAACCUGGGAACUGCAUUCGGGACUGCAUUGCUAGAGUAUGAGAGAGGGAAGUGGAAUUUCAGGUGUAGCGGUGAAAUGCGUAGAUAUCUGAAGGACCAUCAGUGGCGAAAGCGACUUCCUGGACCAAUACUGACGCUCAUGUGCGAAAGCGUGGGGAGCAAACAGG
This 253-nucleotide ribosomal RNA is filed under the name uncultured bacterium. Its description in RNAcentral is "partial 16S ribosomal RNA". It matches the Rfam family "Bacterial small subunit ribosomal RNA", at positions 524 to 776 of the family's 1533-position model. The record is from RNAcentral.